GAUGAACGCUGGCGGCGUGCCUAAUACAUGCAAGUCGAGCGAACAGACGAGGCGCUUGCUCCUCUGACGUUAGCGGCGGACGGGUGAGUAACACGUGGAUAACCUACCUAUAAGACUGGGAUAACUUCGGGAAACCGGAGCUAAUACCGGAUAAUAUAUUGAACCGCAUGGUUCAAUAGUGAAAGACGGUUUUGCUGUCACUUAUAGAUGGAUCCGCGCCGCAUUAGCUAGUUGGUAAGGUAACGGCUUACCAAGGCAACGAUGCGUAGCCGACCUGAGAGGGUGAUCGGCCACACUGGAACUGAGACACGGUCCAGACUCCUACGGGAGGCAGCAGUAGGGAAUCGUCCGCAAUGGGCGAAAGCCUGACGGAGCAACGCCGCGUGAGUGAUGAAGGUCUUCGGAUCGUAAAACUCUGUUAUUAGGGAAGAACAAAUGUGUAAGUAACUAUGCACGUCUUGACGGUACCUAAUCAGAAAGCCACGGCUAACUACGUG
This 497-nucleotide ribosomal RNA is filed under the name uncultured bacterium. Its description in RNAcentral is "partial 16S ribosomal RNA". It matches the Rfam family "Bacterial small subunit ribosomal RNA", at positions 28 to 507 of the family's 1533-position model. The record is from RNAcentral.